GAUGAACGCUGGCGGCGUGCCUAAUACAUGCAAGUCGAGCGAACGGACGAGAAGCUUGCUUCUCUGAUGUUAGCGGCGGACGGGUGAGUAACACGUGGAUAACCUACCUAUAAGACUGGGAUAACUUCGGGAAACCGGAGCUAAUACCGGAUAAUAUUUUGAACCGCAUGGUUCAAAAGUGAAAGACGGUCUUGCUGUCACUUAUAGAUGGAUCCGCGCUGCAUUAGCUAGUUGGUAAGGUAACGGCUUACCAAGGCAACGAUGCAUAGCCGACCUGAGAGGGUGAUCGGCCACACUGGAACUGAGACACGGUCCAGACUCCUACGGGAGGCAGCAGUAGGGAAUCUUCCGCAAUGGGCGAAAGCCUGACGGAGCAACGCCGCGUGAGGGAUGAAGGUCUUCGGAUCGUAAAACUCUGUUAUUAGGGAAGAACAUAUGUGUAAGUAACUGUGCACAUCUUGACGGUACCUAAUCAGAAAGCCACGGCUAACUACGU
This 496-nucleotide ribosomal RNA is filed under the name uncultured bacterium. RNAcentral's name for it is "partial 16S ribosomal RNA". It matches the Rfam family "Bacterial small subunit ribosomal RNA", at positions 28 to 506 of the family's 1533-position model. The record is from RNAcentral.